Molecule: unclassified non-coding RNA, 517 nt
Filed under: uncultured Entrophospora
Lineage: Eukaryota; Fungi; Glomeromycota; Glomeromycetes; Entrophosporales; Entrophosporaceae
Description: SSU rRNA
Rfam family: Eukaryotic small subunit ribosomal RNA
Source: RNAcentral
AGCAGCCGCGGUAAUUCCAGCUCCAAUAGCGUAUAUUAAAGUUGUUGCAGUUAAAAAGCUCGUAGUUGAAUUUCGGGAUUGACGUGAUGGUCAUGCCUUAAGGGGUAUGAACUGUUACUGUUGAUUUCUCACCUUCUGGAGAAACUUGAUGUCCUUUAUUGGGUGUCUUGCGGAUCCAGGACCUUUACCUUGAAAAAUUAGAGUGUUUAAAGCAGGCAUUUUUGCUCGAAUACAUUAGCAUGGAAUAAUAGAAUAGGACGGCAUGGUUCUAUUUUGUUGGUUUCUAGGAUCACCGUAAUGAUUAAUAGGGAUAGUUGGGGGCAUUAGUAUUCAAUUGUCAGAGGUGAAAUUCUUGGAUUUAUUGAAGACUAACUACUGCGAAAGCAUUUGCCAAGGAUGUUUUCAUUAAUCAAGAACGAAAGUUAGGGGAUCGAAGACGAUCAGGUACCGUCGUAGUCUUAGCCAUAAACUAUGCCGACUAGGAAUCAGACGAUGUUAAUUUUUAAUGACUCGUUUG